Molecule: ribosomal RNA, 253 nt
Filed under: uncultured bacterium
Lineage: Bacteria
Description: partial 16S ribosomal RNA
Rfam family: Bacterial small subunit ribosomal RNA
Source: RNAcentral
UACGGGGGGGGCAAGCGUUGUUCGGAAUUACUGGGCGUAAAGGGCUCGUAGGCGGCCAACUAAGUCGGAUGUGAAAUCCCCAGGCUUAACCUGGGAACUGCAUCCGAUACUGGAUGGCUUGAAUUCGGGAGAGGGAUGCAGAAUUCCAGGUGUAGCGGUGAAAUGCGUAGAUAUCUGGAGGAAUACCGGUGGCGAAGGCGGCUCACUGGCCCGAUACUGACGCUGAUGCACGAAAGCGUGGGGAGCAAACAGG